RNAcentral lists this ribosomal RNA (495 nucleotides) under uncultured bacterium. RNAcentral describes it as "SSU rRNA". It matches the Rfam family "Bacterial small subunit ribosomal RNA", at positions 26 to 521 of the family's 1533-position model. The record is from RNAcentral.
AGGACGAACGCUGGCGGCGUGCUUAACACAUGCAAGUGGAGCGACGAACCAGGGCUUGCCCUGGGGCAGGGCCGCGAACGGGUGAGUAACACGUGGGUUACCUGCCUCGAUGACCGGGACAACCCGAGGAAACUCGGGCUAAUACCGGAUGUGCCCGCAAGGGGAAAGGAAGCUUCGGCCUCCGCAUCGAGAUGGGCCCGCGGCCCAUUAGCUUGUUGGUGAGGUAACGGCUCACCAAGGCUUCGAUGGGUAGCUGGUCUGAGAGGACGAUCAGCCACACUGGGACUGAGACACGGCCCAGACUCCUACGGGAGGCAGCAGUGGGGAAUCUUGCGCAAUGCGCGAAAGCGUGACGCAGCAACGCCGCGUGGGGGAAGAAGGCUUUCGGGUUGUAAACCCCUUUCAGUUGGGACGAAGCUUCUCCGGUGAAUAGCCGGAUGGAGUGACGGUACCUUCACAAGAAGCACCGGCUAACUACGCGCCAGCAGCCGCGGU